UCCAUGGGUUGAUGUCUCUGGAAGUGCAA
This 29-nucleotide non-coding RNA is filed under the name Homo sapiens (human). The record is from RNAcentral. Lineage: Eukaryota; Metazoa; Chordata; Mammalia; Primates; Hominidae.